GAAAUGCGAUAAGUAAUGUGAAUUGCAGAAUUCAGUGAAUCAUCGAAUCUUUGAACGCACAUUGCGCCCGCCAGUAUUCUGGCGGGCAUGCCUGUUCGAGCGUCAUUACAACCCUCAGGCCCCCGGGCCUGGCGUUGGGGAUCGGCGGAAGCCCCCUGCGGGCACAACGCCGUCCCCCAAAUACAGUGGCGGUCCCACCGCAGCUUCCAUUGCGUAGUAGCUAACACCUCGCAACUGGAGAGCGGCGCGGCCACGCCGUAAACCACCCAACUUCUGAAUGUUGACCUCGAAUCAGGUAGGAAUACCCGCUGAACUUAAGC
Molecule: unclassified non-coding RNA, 320 nt
Filed under: plant metagenome
Description: partial contains 5.8S ribosomal RNA, internal transcribed spacer 2, and large subunit ribosomal RNA
Rfam family: 5.8S ribosomal RNA (bases 1-105)
Source: RNAcentral